Molecule: long non-coding RNA, 583 nt
Organism: Lemur catta (Ring-tailed lemur)
Lineage: Eukaryota; Metazoa; Chordata; Mammalia; Primates; Lemuridae
Exons: 3
Source: RefSeq, a predicted model, not a curated record
GAGGUAGAGGGGAGUGGUGAGAAUUGGCCAAACUGAUAUUUGAAUAAAUUCAUCCUAUGAACAGAUUAUUAAUAGGUCAUUUUAAUGAAUCUGAGCUGAAAGCCCUCAAAAUAUCCAUUUGGGGGCCACCUGAAGAAUUCUGAUUGGUAGUAGAAGUUGGUCUUUCUUCAGAGCUUUGCCCAGGUUCUGCUCAAUGGCCAAGGCCUCUGGGUCCACCAUGGACACAUCAGGGUGGCGUGGAGAAGGGCUGCGGUCUUGCAUGGGGGCCGGAGGACCACUGGAUGCACAGAGGGCCAGUUUCAGAGACACACUUGCUUAGUGAUGCUGGUUGUUUAAAUGCUAAAUUAUUUCCACGCUAGAGGUGAGCAGCCUGUGUCCUGAGUCCUCCUAUUCCUCCCUCUGCCAUAACCCGGACCCCAUCACCAUCCGUUCCUGCCCAGCAGGGGAACUCCAGAGCUCUGUUCCAGUUCUAAGACGAGUGACCAUCUGGACAAUAGGAGCUUCUGCCACAGCAGUUAUGAAACAUUUUGAAUAUUACCCCUGGGGACUUGCCAUACAAAGAUGCCCUUUAAAAAACAUUAAA